This 897-nucleotide ribosomal RNA is filed under the name Stemphylium vesicarium. Its description in RNAcentral is "eukaryotic LSU rRNA". It matches the Rfam family "Eukaryotic large subunit ribosomal RNA", at positions 43 to 958 of the family's 3401-position model. The record is from RNAcentral. Lineage: Eukaryota; Fungi; Ascomycota; Dothideomycetes; Pleosporales; Pleosporaceae.
UCAAUAAGCGGAGGAAAAGAAACCAACAGGGAUUGCCCUAGUAACGGCGAGUGAAGCGGCAACAGCUCAAAUUUGAAAUCUGGCUCUUUUAGGGUCCGAGUUGUAAUUUGCAGAGGGCGCUUUGGCUUUGGCAGCGGUCCAAGUUCCUUGGAACAGGACGUCACAGAGGGUGAGAAUCCCGUACGUGGUCGCUAGCUAUCGCCGUGUAAAGCCCCUUCGACGAGUCGAGUUGUUUGGGAAUGCAGCUCUAAAUGGGAGGUAAAUUUCUUCUAAAGCUAAAUAUUGGCCAGAGACCGAUAGCGCACAAGUAGAGUGAUCGAAAGAUGAAAAGCACUUUGGAAAGAGAGUCAAACAGCACGUGAAAUUGUUGAAAGGGAAGCGCUUGCAGCCAGACUUGCUUGCAGUUGCUCAUCCGGGCUUUUGCCCGGUGCACUCUUCUGUAGGCAGGCCAGCAUCAGUUUGGGCGGUGGGAUAAAGGUCUCUGUCACGUACCUCUCUUCGGGGAGGCCUUAUAGGGGAGACGACAUACCACCAGCCUAGACUGAGGUCCGCGCAUCUGCUAGGAUGCUGGCGUAAUGGCUGUAAGCGGCCCGUCUUGAAACACGGACCAAGGAGUCUAACAUCUAUGCGAGUGUUUGGGUGUCAAGCCCGAGCGCGUAAUGAAAGUGAACGGAGGUGGGAACCCGCAAGGGUGCACCAUCGACCGAUCCUGAAGUUUUCGGAAGGAUUUGAGUAAGAGCAUGGCUGUUGGGACCCGAAAGAUGGUGAACUAUGCUUGAAUAGGGUGAAGCCAGAGGAAACUCUGGUGGAGGCUCGCAGCGGUUCUGACGUGCAAAUCGAUCGUCAAAUUUGGGCAUAGGGGCGAAAGACUAAUCGAACUAUCUAGUAGCUGGUUCU